AGUGAACGCUGGCGGUAGGCCUAACACAUGCAAGUCGAACGGCAGCACAGGAGAGCUUGCUCUCUGGGUGGCGAGUGGCGGACGGGUGAGGAAUACAUCGGAAUCUACUUUUUCGUGGGGGAUAACGUAGGGAAACUUACGCUAAUACCGCAUACGACCUACGGGUGAAAGCAGGGGACCUUCGGGCCUUGCGCGAUUGAAUGAGCCGAUGUCGAAUUAGCUAGUUGGCGGGGUAAAGGCCCACCAAGGCGACGAUCCGUAGCUGGUCUGAGAGGAUGAUAAGCCACACUGGAACUGAGACACGGUCCAGACUCCUACGGGAGGCAGCAGUGGGGAAUAUUGGACAAUGGGCGCAAGCCUGAUCCAGCCAUACCGCGUGGGUGAAGAAGGCCUUCGGGUUGUAAAGCCCUUUUGUUGGGAAAGAAAUCCAGCUGGCUAAUACCCGGUUGGGAUGACGGUACCCAAAGAAUAAGCACCGGCUAACUUCGUGCCAGCCGCCGCGGUAA
RNAcentral lists this ribosomal RNA (506 nucleotides) under uncultured bacterium. Its description in RNAcentral is "partial 16S ribosomal RNA". It matches the Rfam family "Bacterial small subunit ribosomal RNA", at positions 29 to 523 of the family's 1533-position model. The record is from RNAcentral.